Molecule: ribosomal RNA, 445 nt
Filed under: uncultured bacterium
Lineage: Bacteria
Description: bacterial SSU rRNA
Rfam family: Bacterial small subunit ribosomal RNA
Source: RNAcentral
GGCCAGACUCCUACGGGAGGCAGCAGUAGGGAAUAUUGCUCAAUGGGGGAAACCCUGAAGCAGCAACGCCGCGUGGAGGAUGAAGGUUUUCGGAUUGUAAACUCCUUUUGUUAGAGAAGAUAAUGACGGUAUCUAACGAAUAAGCAUCGGCUAACUCCGUGCCAGCAGCCGCGGUAAUACGGAGGAUGCGAGCGUUAUCCGGAUUUAUUGGGUUUAAAGGGUGCGUAGGCGGGAGAUCAAGUCAGCGGUAAAAAUGCGGGGCCCAACCCCGUCGAGCCGUUGAAACUGGUUUUCUUGAGUGGGCGAGAGGUAUGCGGAAUGCGUGGUGUAGCGGUGAAAUGCAUAGAUAUCACGCAGAACCCCGAUUGCGAAGGCAGCAUACCGGCGCCCAACUGACGCUGAGGCACGAAAGCGUGGGUAUCGAACAGGAUUAGAUACCCGAGUA